UGGAAUGUGGCUCAGUCAGUAGAGUGCUUGCCUGUCAUGUAUGAAACCUUGGGUUUAAUUCUCAGCACUACAU
This 73-nucleotide transfer RNA is filed under the name Rattus norvegicus (Norway rat). It matches the Rfam family "tRNA". From Rfam's summary of the family: Transfer RNA (tRNA) molecules are approximately 80 nucleotides in length. Their secondary structure includes four short double-helical elements and three loops (D, anti-codon, and T loops). Lineage: Eukaryota; Metazoa; Chordata; Mammalia; Rodentia; Muridae. The record is from Rfam by way of RNAcentral.